Molecule: ribosomal RNA, 439 nt
Filed under: uncultured bacterium
Lineage: Bacteria
Description: partial 16S ribosomal RNA
Rfam family: Bacterial small subunit ribosomal RNA
Source: RNAcentral
CCUACGGGAGGCAGCAGUGGGGGAUAUUGCACAAUGGAGGAAACUCUGAUGCAGCGACGCCGCGUGAGGGAAGACGGUCUUCGGAUUGUAAACCUCUGUCUUUGGGGAAGAAAAUGACGGUACCCAAAGAGGAAGCUCCGGCUAACUACGUGCCAGCAGCCGCGGUAAUACGUAGGGAGCGAGCGUUGUCCGGAAUUACUGGGUGUAAGGGGAACGUAGGCGGGCGAGAAAGUUGAAUGUUAAAUCUACCGGGUUAACUGGUAGCUGCGUUCAAAACUUCUUGUCUUGAGUGAAGUAGAGGCAGGCGGAAUGCCUAGUGUAGCGGUGAAAUGCGUAGAUAUUAGGAGGAACACCAGUGGCGAAGGCGGCCUGCUGGGCUUUAACUGACGCUGAGGCUCGAAAGCGUGGGGAGCAAACAGGAUUAGAUACCCCAGUAGUC